Molecule: long non-coding RNA, 1064 nt
Filed under: Sus scrofa (pig)
Lineage: Eukaryota; Metazoa; Chordata; Mammalia; Artiodactyla; Suidae
Description: lncRNA (ENSSSCG00015049794.1, ENSSSCG00050060589.1)
Source: RNAcentral
AGAAAUUGUUUUAAGAUUUACUGAGUAAGUCUAUGAAAUGUAACAAUGUAAUCAUGUCCAAUUUAUUUCUCUAAUGAAAAGAUAGUUUCCCAAAGCCAGACUUGUAAAAAUGAAUGUUUCUACCCUUUCUUUUUCUGACAGGAGGAGCUAGAACACAGUUAAAGCAGAGAAAUUGCAGCACAGAUUCAUCUUCUUUGUGGGAGAGAGAUCCCAGAUAAAAUUCAGAAAAUUUAGUGAGAGUAGCAGAACAAAUAAAAUAUUAUAUGAGUGACAAUGAUUUCAGCUUUCCUUCUAAUAUGAAAAGACAGCUGAAUUGAGGCACUUGGGCCACCCACUGCUGGAAGAAAAAUGCUUGAAUCCUCAGUACCUUUGAUUCGCUGGUUUGUGGAGGUGAGAAUGUAGCUCUCACAGCAUGUACUAGAGAAGUGGUCCCUAUUCUUCACCUGUUUCCUCUUCCUCCAUUAUUUACUGAGUGACUUGACCUGUGAUAAUAUAAACACAAGAAGGGCUCCAGAAGUCAUGGAUAAGUAUUGGCUGAUGGUGAUAAAAAGCUUUCCUAUAAGAAAUUCCACUUUGGUUCCCAAAAAGACAUCCCAAAGGAAAGUACACUACAAGAAGACUAUGCAUGAUACAAACCUAAAAGACAAGAGUAACAAGGAUGACGCUGAUAAGGGAGGCUCUGGUCAAAUGAUAAAGGACCUGUGUUCCAUGCUAAGGAAACAGAAAGUAUUGAGGGUUUGAGCAGUGUAGAAAAUGAUCAAAUCUAUGUUCUGAAAUCACUCUGGUGCCUAGGAUAGUGGAUAAGAGUUUGGAGAAAUGAGAGACUGGAGGAAUAAUUUGGAAGUCAAAACAGGAGCUUCAACAGCCAGAGUUGGAAAUAUAGAUGUUCUAAUGGGGAAGGGAGAGAAGAAAUGGCAAGAUCUAUUUUCAGCUAUCUUUGCAAGGUGACAAAAGUCAAAGCGGUCGAAUCCUCUGGAAUCUUGUAUAUUUCUAUCCUACAGGAUGCUAUGCUCACAUACUGUUGACUGAAGCUUUAUGUAAUAAAGCCUCAGCAUAAAAAAGCA